This 743-nucleotide ribosomal RNA is filed under the name Staphylococcus aureus. RNAcentral describes it as "partial 23S ribosomal RNA". It matches the Rfam family "Bacterial large subunit ribosomal RNA", at positions 714 to 1461 of the family's 2925-position model. Lineage: Bacteria; Bacillati; Bacillota; Bacilli; Caryophanales; Staphylococcaceae. The record is from RNAcentral.
CCCGAAACCAGGUGAUCUACCCUUGGUCAGGUUGAAGUUCAGGUAACACUGAAUGGAGGACCGAACCGACUUACGUUGAAAAGUGAGCGGAUGAACUGAGGGUAGCGGAGAAAUUCCAAUCGAACCUGGAGAUAGCUGGUUCUCUCCGAAAUAGCUUUAGGGCUAGCCUCAAGUGAUGAUUAUUGGAGGUAGAGCACUGUUUGGACGAGGGGCCCCUCUCGGGUUACCGAAUUCAGACAAACUCCGAAUGCCAAUUAAUUUAACUUGGGAGUCAGAACAUGGGUGAUAAGGUCCGUGUUCGAAAGGGAAACAGCCCAGACCACCAGCUAAGGUCCCAAAAUAUAUGUUAAGUGGAAAAGGAUGUGGCGUUGCCCAGACAACUAGGAUGUUGGCUUAGAAGCAGCCAUCAUUUAAAGAGUGCGUAAUAGCUCACUAGUCGAGUGACACUGCGCCGAAAAUGUACCGGGGCUAAACAUAUUACCGAAGCUGUGGAUUGUCCUUUGGACAAUGGUAGGAGAGCGUUCUAAGGGCGUUGAAGCAUGAUCGUAAGGACAUGUGGAGCGCUUAGAAGUGAGAAUGCCGGUGUGAGUAGCGAAAGACGGGUGAGAAUCCCGUCCACCGAUUGACUAAGGUUUCCAGAGGAAGGCUCGUCCGCUCUGGGUUAGUCGGGUCCUAAGCUGAGGCCGACAGGCGUAGGCGAUGGAUAACAGGUUGAUAUUCCUGUACCACCUAUAAUCGUUUUA